CACUCCUACGGGAGGCAGCAGUAGGGAAUCUUCGGCAAUGGGGGCAACCCUGACCGAGCAACGCCGCGUGAGUGAAGAAGGUUUUCGGAUCGUAAAGCUCUGUUGUAAGUCAAGAACGAGUGUGAGAGUGGAAAGUUCACACUGUGACGGUAGCUUACCAGAAAGGGACGGCUAACUACGUGCCAGCAGCCGCGGUAAUACGUAGGUCCCGAGCGUUGUCCGGAUUUAUUGGGCGUAAAGCGAGCGCAGGCGGUUUGAUAAGUCUGAAGUUAAAGGCUGUGGCUCAACCAUAGUUCGCUUUGGAAACUGUCAAACUUGAGUGCAGAAGGGGAGAGUGGAAUUCCAUGUGUAGCGGUGAAAUGCGUAGAUAUAUGGAGGAACACCGGUGGCGAAAGCGGCUCUCUGGUCUGUAACUGACGCUGAGGCUCGAAAGCGUGGGGAGCGAACAGGAUUAGAAACCCUUGUAGUCCCAUG
Molecule: ribosomal RNA, 474 nt
Filed under: uncultured organism
Description: partial 16S ribosomal RNA
Rfam family: Bacterial small subunit ribosomal RNA
Source: RNAcentral